This 509-nucleotide unclassified non-coding RNA is filed under the name Hevea brasiliensis (rubber tree). The record is from RNAcentral. Lineage: Eukaryota; Viridiplantae; Streptophyta; Magnoliopsida; Malpighiales; Euphorbiaceae.
GCCUAUUAAACAGUUGCAAAACUAAAACAUUUGUAAUUUGACACUAGCUCAAAGUUCUCAUCACAAAAACAAUUCCAAUAGGGAUUCUGCAUUAAGUCAGAAAAAUCAUAUAGAAGAAAAUCACCUGAUGCCAAUGAAAAAACAAAUAUACAAAGCAACAUGUCACUAGUUUAAUUUGAACCUGUUAUAUAUGCCACCACAAUGCCAAGCUGUGGCUUUCUAAUGUGAGCCAAUCCUCUGAUGCUUGGCUCAUGCAGACUAAAGCCAACUGAGUCUGUCCAAUUGAACCCAAGAAGAUUCAGUAUGUCUCCUAAAACUUGCAUUUUGUGAAACCCACAAACAAGCCAGAAUCGUGUAUGGAACAUAAUUAAUAGGACAGAAACAUUCAGCAAGCACAAGCAAAAAAAAGUCGUGAACCUUUUUAUUUAGACAGCAUAAGAUUGGCCAGUGAGCCCAUCAUGGAGCUGCAAUGAACCAUCUUUCAUCAGGUUGAGGCUCAAACUCUUGAA